CAAAUACUCCCUCUGUUCAGAAAUAGUUGUCCUGGAAAUGAAUACAAAUGGAUGUAUCUAAAACUAAAAUACAUCUAGAUACAUCUAUUCCUCGCACAAGUAUUUUCGGACGGAUGGAGUAUAUG
Triticum aestivum (bread wheat) is the source of this 125-nucleotide non-coding RNA. The record is from Rfam. NCBI's taxonomy places the organism in Eukaryota, Viridiplantae, Streptophyta, Magnoliopsida, Poales, Poaceae.